This 484-nucleotide ribosomal RNA is filed under the name uncultured bacterium. RNAcentral's name for it is "partial 16S ribosomal RNA". It matches the Rfam family "Bacterial small subunit ribosomal RNA", at positions 30 to 507 of the family's 1533-position model. The record is from RNAcentral.
AUUGAACGCUGGCGGCAGGCCUAACACAUGCAAGUCGAGCGGAUGAAGGGAGCUUGCUCCUGGAUUCAGCGGCGGACGGGUGAGUAAUGCCUAGGAAUCUGCCUGGUAGUGGGGGAUAACGUCCGGAAACGGGCGCUAAUACCGCAUACGUCCUGAGGGAGAAAGUGGGGGAUCUUCGGACCUCACGCUAUCAGAUGAGCCUAGGUCGGAUUAGCUAGUUGGUGGGGUAAAGGCCUACCAAGGCGACGAUCCGUAACUGGUCUGAGAGGAUGAUCAGUCACACUGGAACUGAGACACGGUCCAGACUCCUACGGGAGGCAGCAGUGGGGAAUAUUGGACAAUGGGCGAAAGCCUGAUCCAGCCAUGCCGCGUGUGUGAAGAAGGUCUUCGGAUUGUAAAGCACUUUAAGUUGGGAGGAAGGGCAGUAAGUUAAUACCUUGCUGUUUUAACGUUACCAAAAGAAUAAGCACCGGCUAACUUCGUG